GUUCAUGUAGCUUAUAGUAUAAAGCAAGGCACUGAAAAUGCCUAGAUGAGUUUUAUAACUCCAUAAACA
RNAcentral lists this transfer RNA (69 nucleotides) under Ochotona sp. WJ-2016f. Its description in RNAcentral is "tRNA-Phe". It matches the Rfam family "tRNA". From Rfam's summary of the family: Transfer RNA (tRNA) molecules are approximately 80 nucleotides in length. Their secondary structure includes four short double-helical elements and three loops (D, anti-codon, and T loops). Further hydrogen bonds mediate the characteristic L-shaped molecular structure. tRNAs have two regions of fundamental functional importance: the anti-codon, which is responsible for specific mRNA codon recognition, and the 3' end, to which the tRNAs corresponding amino acid is attached (by aminoacyl-tRNA synthetases). tRNAs cope with the degeneracy of the genetic code in two manners: having more than one tRNA (with a specific anti-codon) for a particular amino acid; and 'wobble' base-pairing, i.e. permitting non-standard base-pairing at the 3rd anti-codon position. The record is from RNAcentral. Lineage: Eukaryota; Metazoa; Chordata; Mammalia; Lagomorpha; Ochotonidae.